GCACGGGUCGUAUAGCGGCUAUUACCACUGCCUGCAGAGCAGUUGAUCGUGGGUUCGAGUCCCACCCCGUGCU
This 73-nucleotide transfer RNA is filed under the name Candidatus Pacearchaeota archaeon. Its description in RNAcentral is "tRNA-Cys". It matches the Rfam family "tRNA". From Rfam's summary of the family: Transfer RNA (tRNA) molecules are approximately 80 nucleotides in length. The record is from RNAcentral. Lineage: Archaea; Nanobdellati.